UUCGAACACAAUUUGCCAAAA
Molecule: non-coding RNA, 21 nt
Organism: Caenorhabditis elegans
Lineage: Eukaryota; Metazoa; Nematoda; Chromadorea; Rhabditida; Rhabditidae
Source: Ensembl